GACGAACGCUGGCGGCGUGCUUAACACAUGCAAGUCGAACGGAAAGGCCCUGCUUUUGUGGGGUGCUCGAGUGGCGAACGGGUGAGUAACACGUGAGUAACCUGCCCUUGACUUUGGGAUAACUUCAGGAAACUGGGGCUAAUACCGGAUAGGAGCUCCUGCUGCAUGGUGGGGGUUGGAAAGUUUCGGCGGUUGGGGUUGGACUCGCGGCUUAUCAGCUUGUUGGUGGGGUAGUGGCUUACCAAGGCUUUGACGGGUAGCCGGCCUGAGAGGGUGACCGGCCACAUUGGGACUGAGAUACGGCCCAGACUCCUACGGGAGGCAGCAGUGGGGAAUAUUGCACAAUGGGCGGAAGCCUGAUGCAGCAACGCCGCGUGCGGGAUGACGUCCUUCGGGUUGUAAACCGCUUUCGCCUGUGACGAAGCGUGAGUGACGGUAAUGGGUAAAGAAGCACCGGCUAACUACGUG
RNAcentral lists this ribosomal RNA (468 nucleotides) under uncultured bacterium. Its description in RNAcentral is "partial 16S ribosomal RNA". It matches the Rfam family "Bacterial small subunit ribosomal RNA", at positions 28 to 507 of the family's 1533-position model. The record is from RNAcentral.